Molecule: non-coding RNA, 803 nt
Filed under: Apicotermitinae sp.
Lineage: Eukaryota; Metazoa; Arthropoda; Insecta; Blattodea; Termitidae
Source: RNAcentral
AAGUUUUAUUCUUGCUUUUUCAUUCAGUUUAUGUUUGUUUUAUAUGUAAGCUUUUGCGCGGGUUAUAUCCUUUCUCUAAAUGGGUUGGAGUGUUAUUUAUUUAUUCUCAUUAGUUAUUAUUGGUUGGUCAAGUAUACUUGUAUUUAGCAAUUCAUUUUAGUUUCGGUUAAAUUUUGUGCCAGCAGCCGCGGUUAUACCUUGGAGGCGUUUGAAUGUGUUUGGUGUUGUAGUUAUGUGUAUUAAGUUUAAUUGAUUUUAGUUUAUUUGUUUAUUAGGUGAAAUUUUUAUUGUUGUUUUAUGUCAUUUAUUUUUUUGGAGGCUAUGAAAUUCCUUUUGUAGACUAGGAUUAGAUACCCUAUUAUUUUGGAUCGUUAAUUUUUGUGCCUGAGUAGUAUUAGUUAUGUUCUUGAAACUUAAAGAAUUUGGCGGUAUCUUAUUCCAUCCAGAGGAAUCUGUCUCGUUAUCGAUAGUCCGCGUUGGACCUUACUUAGUUGUUUUGGUUUGUAUACCGCCGUUUAUUGAUUAUCUUUUUAGAGUUUUAAUUUUCUGGUUUCUUUAUUUUGAUUUAUUUCAGGUCAAGGUGCAGCUUGUUUCUAAGUGGAAUGAUGGAUUACAUUGUUAUUUGUUUAUUGGAUUGUUGAUUUUAAUAUUAGCAUGAAAUUGGAUUUGGUUGUAAUGUUUUGUAGAUUGUUUUCAUGAUAAUUGGUUCUGGGAUAUGUACACAUCGCCCGUCGCUCUCGUUUGUUUGUUAAUGAGAUAAGUCGUAACAAAGUGGUUGUACCGGAAGGUGCGGCUGGAUUGAU